AGGGCCUGGCGCACAUAAGGUGUGACCUUUUCAUUCCCGUUGUUAUGGAGGGCCACAUCUGCCAGAGCCUGGAGUCUGCGAAGGCCGGGACCCGGUUCCCCGGCCCACAGUGGGGGUGUGCAAACCCGAGAGAACUGGGUAAGUUGGGGUCGGCUUGCAGUUUGGGGUACCCCGAGGGCGGUGUACGUCGGUAAGAUUGUAACAGUAUUACUGGAAGACUUAUUCGACUGUCCUGAUGAUACUUGUAAUAGGAAGUGCCGUCAGAAGCGAUAACUGACGACGUCUAAUGUCUAUCUGACCGCAGUCGCUGAAACCUCUACAACUUAGUUGACCGUAACUGCCAGAGCCCUGCCCUGAAUUCCUGUCCUUACUCCCUCUUUAAGAUUGCGUACCCACUGCAGAGUGCUGAAGACGGGGUAGCCACGAGGUGAGAGGCUCUCUGGUGUAGGGUUUAACAUGGAACGUAGUUUUGUCACUUGAAUGCACGGAAAUUGGCGUUUUGACAGUUUUCUACGUUUAGGUGUUUUAUACACUUUAGGGUAACGUUAUCAUGUCAUUGCAUAGGGUGGAACUUAAAUAGAAACUGGAGAUGGCUGCUUCAGCCACAGUCCUAACCUAGAACUGCAUUUAAAGCAAACUGAUAAUGCAGAAACAAACUCCUUCGUUAAGAAAUGUCUCCAGUAGCAGGGUUAGCUUAAGUUUCAGGUAGGGUCUAGAUCUGCGGUUGGAACAGUACUGGAGGGUUGUGAGGUGCUUGACUGCUCUGAUGAAAUCACUAAUAGGAAGUGCCGUCAGAAGCGAUAACUGACGAAGACUACUCCUGUCUGAUUGCAGUCAAGUCUUCACCACUUGCUGGUUCCCAGGAGUAAACUUGUUUGAACGGUGACCUAAUUGCUAUAUUCACCUAGGUUGCAAAUUCGUGAAGAAUCAGCAUCAUGUUUGGCAGCUGAGUAUUGGAGCCAGGAGCCUGCCAUGAGGUUUUGAGAACAGAGUGCUGUUUUAGAGCUGGCAGCAGCAUCUCAGCCCAAGAGAAGGUUAUAUUCCCAGAGGAUGUCAGUCCCAAGGACCAGUAGCUGCCAUCAGUUUGGAUUCUGAAAACUAACUGGCAUCAACACUGGGUGUAGAAACAUGCUUGCCUUAUGUAUCAGAGGACAUGCUCAGCAGAUCCAAGAGAUAUAUUUGGCAACUUUUUCUAGAAAAGGCACAUUGGGUAUCAUUCAUUACAUUCUUGAGUUUUUUUGGGUUUUUUUUUUUUUUUUUGAGACAGUCUUGCUGUAUUGCCCAGGCUGGAGUGUGGUGGCACAAUCACAGCUCAUUGCAUCCUCAAUCACCCAGGCCUAAGCAAUCCUCCCACCUUGUAGCUGGGACUACAGCUCACAGCACACCUGGCUAAAAUUUUUUUUUUGUUGAGACGGAUUCUCUAUGUUGCCCAGGCUGGUCUCAGGCUCCUGGGCUCAGAUGGUCCUCCUGCCUCAGCUUCCAAAGGCACAGGCCAAGUUGUAGCUUUGUCCCUUGCCAUCAUGCCCAACAAGAGGUUCUAUACCUUUUAAUGAAUUGACUUUCAUAAAUUGGUUAUGUUGGUGGGCAAAGUUCUUUAAGCUGGAAAUUGUAAAUUCCUCCUGAAAUGUUUUUUCAUGCAGUUACCAUGAACUAAUACUACAAUAAAGGAUGGUCUUGGGUGUCAA
This is a long non-coding RNA of Homo sapiens (human), 1685 nucleotides long. Ensembl annotates it as small nucleolar RNA host gene 29. Its record names the gene SNHG29. NCBI's taxonomy places the organism in Eukaryota, Metazoa, Chordata, Mammalia, Primates, Hominidae. The record is from Ensembl.